Long non-coding RNA from Sorghum bicolor (sorghum), 422 nucleotides. RefSeq lists it as uncharacterized. The transcript has 2 exons. The record is from RefSeq and is a predicted model, not a curated record. Lineage: Eukaryota; Viridiplantae; Streptophyta; Magnoliopsida; Poales; Poaceae.
UGUCGCCGGAUGCCCCCAGUCGACUUGCUGCGGCUGCGACGCUCGUCCGUCCGCGACUCCUCGUCGUGCCACCGUCGCCUGCCCGGUUCGAACUCCAGAACCUCCUCCUCCGUGAGUGCUUCUCCACUGCCGUCCCCGACCUGCUAACCAAGUCUCCGGCCCCGGCCUCCAUCUGGUGCCUACACUUCAGGAUCAAGGCGAUCAAGGAGGGAUUGCAUGUGGAUCAGGAUGCUGUGCAGUGCUUAACUGCUUAUGUUGGACCGGUCACCGGUGCCUAGCAUGCUCUGGUACACCGUGGUCCAUGGCUCGGAAAUUCAGUCAUGGUUAGCUCAUUCCUCUUCAGUUUCCGGAAAUUUGGUUCUUACUGAAAUUUCGGCUACCUGGCUGAAUUUAAUCUGCUGCAAAGCUUUUAGGUUUCAUUA